Molecule: long non-coding RNA, 603 nt
Organism: Triticum aestivum (bread wheat)
Lineage: Eukaryota; Viridiplantae; Streptophyta; Magnoliopsida; Poales; Poaceae
Exons: 2
Source: RefSeq, a predicted model, not a curated record
CUGCACAGAGCACCACAUAGGCAGAGAAUCACGCAAUCAAACCAAAGUGAGAGACCAAGAGAGAUGGCGUCCAAGGCAUUCCCUGCUCUGGUCCUUCUGGCGCUCGUCUGCGGCCAGCUUGUGGUCGACGGCCAUGCCCAGCCCUACACCGGCGGCGGCCGCAUCAGGGGAGGAGGAUCUGCUCCCGGAAUGCAGCCACCGACUUACCCCACUGCCCAUGCCCACUCCUCCACCAUUGGAGAAUACGAUGGAGCUGGAAGGCCUUCAGCCGUGGAAGAAGACAAGGCCUUCAUGGUCAACAGCCUGCCGGCGCACGACCGCCCGCUGCCUGUCCCGCCUUCCGCUCACUAGUCCGUCGAGGCAACGCAGUCGAGCUUGAGAUCAGCGGCCCAGUGGCCAGCACUAAUAAUAGGAAUAAAUUUGUGUGAAGUUGUCCUGUGGUGACUCUGUUUCUGUCAUCAGGGGUGUAAAAGUAGAGUACACCGAACUACUAAUAAAAGUACUGUUGAGAAAGUUGGGACUUCACAGUGGUUUCAAGAGAACAUAUAUAAGUUUGUUCCAAAAUUCCGUUUACAUCUUACCAUGAACAUAAUAUGGAUGUAU